UGGGGAAUAUUGGACAAUGGGCGAAAGCCUGAUCCAGCCAUGCCGCGUGUGUGAAGAAGGUCUUCGGAUUGUAAAGCACUUUAAGUUGGGAGGAAGGGCAGUAAGCGAAUACCUUGCUGUUUUGACGUUACCGACAGAAUAAGCACCGGCUAACUCUGUGCCAGCAGCCGCGGUAAUACAGAGGGUGCAAGCGUUGAUCGGAAUUACUGGGCGUAAAGCGCGCGUAGGUGGUUCGUUAAGUUGAAUGUGAAAGCCCCGGGCUCAACCUGGGAACUGCAUCCAAAACUGGCGAGCUAGAGUAGGGCAGAGGGUGGUGGAAUUUCCUGUGUAGCGGUGAAAUGCGUAGAUAUAGGAAGGAACACCAGUGGCGAAGGCGACCACCUGGGCUCAUACUGACACUGAGGUGCGAAAGCGUGGGGAGCGAACAGG
Molecule: ribosomal RNA, 429 nt
Filed under: Pseudomonadota bacterium
Lineage: Bacteria; Pseudomonadati; Pseudomonadota
Description: Proteobacteria bacterium partial 16S ribosomal RNA
Rfam family: Bacterial small subunit ribosomal RNA
Source: RNAcentral